RNAcentral lists this long non-coding RNA (7427 nucleotides) under Citrus maxima (pomelo). Its description in RNAcentral is "long non-coding RNA (CMAX_LNC001578)". The record is from RNAcentral. Lineage: Eukaryota; Viridiplantae; Streptophyta; Magnoliopsida; Sapindales; Rutaceae.
ACUGUAAGUGUGUAAUAAAAUAUUCAGUGGAAUCUCUCAGUUCACAUUGUAAAGGCAACAUACAAUAAUAAUAUUUCGCAUCAAAACUUCAAUUUUUUUUUUUUGAAUACUGAUCACGUAUCAGAUUACUGUUUUACACAGAUAUUUACAAUUUUUAUUACAGCAGAUAUUACACUUGCGACAUAUGACCCUCACAGACGAUUACUGUAUUACACAGAUAUUUACAACUUCUAUUAGUGAUAUUUCCAAUCAGAUAUAUAAUUAGCACUUAAAUUAUUACAUUAAUUUUAUGAAGUACAUACUCAGACAUAUGACCCUCACAGACGAGAGAUGUCUCCACUCCACUCGCAUUUCGCAAGAGAAAAAGAUUUACAAAUUAACUCCACAUAUUUUUUUGCUUAAUUGAGGGAGGUUGAAUUUAUGUAUGGAAACUCGAACCACUAUCCUCAUAAUCCUGCUUAACUUUGAGAAUAGUGGUUCACCACUGGACCAAAGCCCAAGUGGCUAUCAAAACUUAAAUUAAUCUCCACCAAGUUGUUGUUUUGAUAUGUGAACUCCUUGAUCUAUCAAAGAUUCUCACAUUCCUCGGUGCUAAUUUAAGAGAAAACCAAGAUGCCGAUGUAUUUUAGUUUCAUCGAAUGAUUCCAAUAUCUCUGGAGUUUUACCUUGCCAAGGGUAUGCGCUGGGCGGGCUGCAAUCAUGUUGUCAGAUUCUGCACAAAAAGUCCACGUUCACUAACUUUCAUUUUAUAGACAAAUGACGUUUCUGAAAUCUAAAAUAUCCAGUGAAUCAUCGACUGAUCAUUUCAUCACACCACCAUAAUUUGGAUAAGGAAUACCAAAUAAUGAUGAUAAUGAUUAAUAUUUUGUAUAAGCUCAUAAGUCAUGGUUUGACAUAAAGAGUGUGAGAGUGACUAUAAAUUUGAACUGAAAUUUAGAAAUGAUUUUGUUAACAACUAUUAUGUAACCUGACAAUGCCUGCUGAGAUUUCGCAAUCGCCAAGUCGCUCAUUCAUUGCAUUCCAAUCUUUUUGGUCACAAUCUUUUGUUCCAUGCGCAAUUCACACAUUCCAUAGAGAGUCAUAGACGUAUCAAAAUGCACAGAAAACAAAUGGUGAUGAUUCGAGAUAUUCCAUCAGCCACUUAGAAAUUUGCUUGCCAUAUGCAGGAAAAGAGUUGACCUCAUAGUUAUCGGUUAUCAGGCCAUCCAUUAAUAAUGAAUAGUUUAGUCUGGUAACGGAAAAUCAGUCAAAUCCUCCCUAUGAUGUACAAGGUCCGAUACCCGAUUUGGGUCAAGAGAAACACUAGGACUACGAUGAACAUAUUUCCGACUUUGGGAAGAUUGUUGUGAAUUAGCCAUCCAACAAAGCCUGAGCAGAGAUAAUAUGGUUCCCAGACUCAGAAGCCAUCACAUAACAGUUAUCUGCAGUAUUUAAUUACCAACAUUCAAGUUAUUUUCUAUCAGCUGUUAACAAUAGUCAAAACUCAAAUAUGGCUUUUGGAGAGACUGAGUUAUAUGACUUACAUAAAUUGAGUUCUCAGGGGAUCCCAUCUUGGUGCUACUGCUGCUGAAUUUGAGAAGUGGGAUUAAGGCAAAUGGGUAGUUCAAAUGACAGUAUCAUCUGCAAGCAAUAACUAUAAAAUAUAGCAAUUAUUGAUUAACAGAAUCAUCUUUUAAUCAAAGAUCUAGUGAUGCAUAAUGGUAUCUAUAGAUGUUUCGACACACAAUUAUUAGCUGCAAUGACCUUUCUUUCCUAACUCUUCACUUCAGUUCAUCCUCACACUUUCUCCCUGCAAAUACUGUCCCUAGUUUACAAGUAAGCAAGUGACCAGCUCCCAACUCAAAGCACAUUGCACAACUUAUUACACUGUAACUGCAUUGAAUUAUUUUCCUGCCCUUGAAAGGCCAGAGAAAUUCAAAUGACAAUAAAACUGUUCAUACUAUUACACACAAAUUUGCUAAAACGGAGCAGGCUCAUAGAUUUGAAAGGUUGGGCCCUGGUUUCCUUCUAAUUGACAAAUAUAUAGAAAAUAAUUUGUUUCAGGUUGAAUUUAAAAAGACUCGGCACUCUUUUACAGCAAACACAACAAGAACUAUGUUGUUAGAACUUUGAACCAUUGCAAAACUAUGACUAGCUUUUACAGCAUACAAUUAACUUAUGUGGUUAUCUUAUAGCAACCAAAAUUGAUACCUGAAUAGUGGCGAGAAGCACUGAACAAAAAUGGCCGGUGCAUGUCAACAAGCUAGUGUCAGGCAGUAAGCCAGUAACAACAAGAUGAGUCUGGAAGUUGGAGUUGGCUAAACUGGGCAAGUUCAAAUUAAAAACCAUUCUGUAACAGCUACCCAGAAAGAACCUGUCACCAGGAAUAUCAUCCAAGUAAAAUUUCAUUGAACUGUUUCUUAACUCCUAAUUAUUAUUAUUUUUUGGUUGAAUCAGGUAAAAUGGACCACAAUCAUUCUAAAGGCACUAAAUGAUUUUAAAUACCACUGGGGCUUCUGACCACAAAGAAAGUAAAAAACUACUUGGGCUGGCAUAAAUAAUUCCUUAUCUUUAAUAAAACACUUCAUAGAUAAAAGGCUUCUUUCUUUCUUUUUAACUCUAUCGGUUUAAUUAACCCCUUUUGCAGAUUCAUAGUAUGUAAAUUGAUUAAAAAUUUCUCCUAAAAUGAACAUGCAGCCUUGAUAUCAAUAACCCAUUAAAUUUUUUUACUGUGACCAAAGGAUUCGAUCAGAAUUACAUAAUCUUAAGCAACUAAAAACCAUUGACUCUAAUUAAUAAUUAGAAAUUGAGAAUCAUUUUUCUUUUUUUUUUCUCUCUUAACGAGCAAGUAUUAGGCCCUUCUGUUUAAAAUAAGUGAAAAAAGUAAAAUGGAAGCCCAAUCCACAAGAACAGGAAAGUAAAAAUAAUCAUUGCAGUAAUAGUUACAAUCACCAGCAGAGUGCCCAAAUUUCCAUCCUUGCAAUUCCAGUGGCCUUCGGUUUUCAUAUGGAAGAACAUCACCAGUUUCUCUAGAUGUCAAUUUCUCCACACUUUAAUAACUCUUUAUGCUUCAUAAUUGGUUUUACCUUCAUAACUUGCCUAAACCUAUACUCUAUACCAUCCCUUAUUCUUUUACGCAGUCCAUCAUCCAGCAAACUAGGUUCCUCUGCCGCAUUUAGGGCAUCACAAACUAACUUGUAUGUGUACUCUCUAGGUACUGAACCCCCAUCAACCAACUCCGCCAGAAAAUCCCUGGCCUCCAAAACCCUUCCAGCUUCACACAAUGCAUGUAUAAUUGGAGUAUAUGAACUCGAAGUGGGUACCCCAUGAUUCAAAUUUUGCAUCUUCCUCAUCAUUUCAAUAGCCUUAUCAAUCUCAUUCACAACACUAUAAUACCUAAUAAACGAGUUAUAAGUAACCCGAUUUGGAAUACAACCCUUUUUAUUCAUAUCAUCAAAAAGUUCCAAGGCCCUCUCAAUCCGAUAGGUCUUGCAACAACCAUCUAUCAAACAGUUAUACGCAACAACAUCUGGAACAAAACCCUUAAACAACAUUAACCGAAACAAGUGAUUAGCUUCCCAUAUCCUCCUUCUAAUAGCCUUUCUACACCCGGUUUGCAUACCAUACUUACAAUAAGAACUAAUCAAUAUAGUAUAAGUAUACACAUCCGGGGGACACCUAAACCCCGGUAACUCCAUCUGUUCCAACAAAAAUCUUGCCUUGUUAAAGUUCCCAACUCGACAAAGAGCAUUAAUAACAACAUUGUAAGCGUAAACAUCAGGUCUACAACGAAACUGCUUCAUCCGAUAAAAUGUAGCCAAUGCCUCGUUAACCAGCCCUUCUUCACCUAGGACUUUUAUCAAACAGGUAACACUAGAGGUAGUAACAAGCUCCCCAUUUCCUCUUCUUGACAUAUCUUUGAGAAAAUCCCAAAGACCCUUUACGUUAUUUCCUCUGGCGAAUACAAUGCCCAUUUCUUUACAAGUCAUCUCAUUAUGAAAAAAGUCGAAAAACCUUUCGACCCAGUGAUAAAACUCUGUGGCUUUGUUGAGUCCUAGAGUGACCUUUUGAGGAUCUCUAUAGGCGGCAGGGCCAAGAACAAGCACAUUAUUGGCGAUAUUGUAAGCUUCUUUUUUGAGGAUUCGUUGUCUCAAAGGAGUGCGAUGGCGAAAACCCGUUUGGCGGCCAAUGGAGCGAGGGGACUGAAAGAAGAAUCUUGGGAUUGAUUUGAGUACGUCAGCGACUGAUUCAAUGGUGAAUGGGUUUUGGGUUUUGGUUGUUGAAGCGGCGAGUUUGGCAUCAAAUGGGACGUUUUUUAGCAUAAGCGGAAGUACUUGCUGCACUAGGCAAGUGUGCUUGGAGUUUAGAGGUUUCGAGACGAUCAUGUUCGUUGCGGUUGAUAAUUAAUUAUCCUCGCAAAUGCUUCAGAAAUGCCACUGCAAAACUGAUUUAUACUCGAAGCUAGUUCCGGUUUCUCCUCAUUGAUAUUUGCAUGAAUUUCUGCGCGUGUGUUAUUUGUUACGUGAAGUAAAGGCCACUGUACAUGUGAUGAAGUUCUGCGCGCUUUUUGCCGUCUUUGAACUUUGAAGAGAGAGAUAAAAGCGUGGGGAUUUGAUGGACCAAGUUUUGGGCUUUUUGGCAUUGGACCUACCCAAUUCAAUCUCCUGCAUUCAACAUUUUAUGGGCCACAUUUUCUACUCUUUGAGCUUGAAUUUUUCAGCCCUCCAUACUUACAUAUACUGGACUCAAAUCCAUUCUAUAAUAAUGAUGGAAAAGUAUACCACGCUCACCGCUCAGGCUUUCUGUGUUCUUAUACGAAAUGGAAGUGUUGUGUGAGAUUCUGGUUCUCUGCUCGUCCACGAUCAGGAUCUCUCCUCAACUAAUUCGUCCACCACCAGGAUCUCUCCUCGUAAGAUUUUUUAUCUGCAAACUCAUGCGUACACAGAGACAGGUCAGAGCAUGCCGGGUGUGUUCCCGGCAUAAACCCUCCAACGCUCAAGUCAGAAAUGUAGGCUUUACCUUUCUGGGAAAAACGACCACUAAUCUUAUGGCUCUUUUUUCUUAGAUCUAUCAAUCGAAAGCUCUCUUUAUCUCAGUUUUAAUCUCAAAAAGUCUAACCAUUUUACAUUCGUGGGCUACUUUUUUAUAGGCUCUCUCUGGAUCCUGGCCUUCCACAACCCAUGUCCAUUACCUCCCCCCAACUCUCGGAAGUGGAUGCUCGGUUAUCGUAGUCGUGGCUGGAUGAACUUCGUGCCUUGAUUCUUGGGUAGGAGUGCACGUACGUCUUGUCAACCGUCAUUGACCGGGUCUCCUCACCUCGACCUCUAGCAGGAAUAGUUUUACGCUCCUGGUAGGAGGCUAGCUGCAGUUGUGGUCCCGUGGAAUAUAUCUGUUCGUAUUCCCCUGCUACCAGACUUUUGCGGAAUAUAUCUGUUCGCGAAAUCCUACUACCAAGUAUUUGCUCAUCAUGGUCGGUCUUGUCGAGGUACAUCCCCCAAACAGGAAGAUCAGUGAAUAAUAAAUUUUAGGAAUAGAGUGACAAUAUAAUUGUCAUAUCAAUUAUGAUACAAACAUAAACAUUAACUAUUGUUUUCAAUUGAACUCUUAAGAAAAUAGUUUUUUUUUGGUUUGCCUCUUUUCAUACAAGUAAGAGGAAUCAAUUUUCUCUCACAUUAAAUUUUAAUUUAAGUUUGUGCAUGGGAAUAUGGAGAAGUUGGGGUGUGUGAAAUGCAAACAAAAAAAAAAUGUGGAUUGAAUAUAUUUUGUAAGUUACCUAAAUUUUAUUAAAUGUAAGAUCAAAACUUUGCGAAAAAAAAUAAAUGGGAAUUUCAUAUGAAAUUGAGCCAGCAUGGGCAUUGAAAUCAUUUUUCAAUAUCAUCUCAAACUUCUAAAUUACAAUAAUAUACUUAAUAUAGAUUGGGAAAAAGAAAAAUCCUCCCUUACAAUAAUUAUAAGACAUCACAUCAUGAGAUUUGAAGAUUUUAGACGAGAAGAGCUAAUCACGGGCCACCGUCUUGGGCUCGUGAUCCAAUUCUAAAGAGAACUCUCCUAGAAAUUAUCCGUUAACAAACCAAAUAUAUAUAUAUAUAUAUAUAUAUAUUGGGAGCCUCUAAGUUACAAUAAUUGUAACAUACAUUUCUUAUGUGAACCACACAAAAUUAUAAGACCCAUAAUUUGUGUGGUUCACAUGAAGAAUGUAUGUUACAAUUAUUGUAACUUAGCAUUUGCCAUAUAUAUAUUGUAUUUAAAAACACAUUUCGAAGGGCGCAAAUAAAUUUCCCUCCACAACGAGCAGCAGCGCUUAUACUAUACAGUGAGAUCCGUUUAAAAGAGUCCGAACCCGGCCCACUCCGCAUCAACAACCGGUCGGGGCGAAGACUUAUACGACGAAAAAGACGACGAAGCAGGUGAGGCAGUGAAGGGCGAAAGGGUCUUCCGGCUAGACACCGACCACCUGGCUAAUGUUUCAAGGUCAGAAGAGUAUCCCGGUUCGGAUUCGGGUCUGGGUAGGAGUACCCUUUUUUUGCUUGCCUUUUGUCUCAGCAGAGGAGCAGGAAAACAUCCGGGCGAGACACAAUCGGGUCGGAGAGGCUUCUCAAACCGCCAACGCUCGGACCGGGUUCGCGGGGUGGACCGGAACGACUGGCUUCGAGGCUCCACUGGUGGAAAGAAAUGAAGCGCGGCUGGUGGGGGUCUAAGCUUUUGCAGUGGAGCAGGUGAGGAACGGGUGUGAUUAUCAAAUUCAACAGCUGGCGACAGCGGUGGCUCCGGCGUAAGUUUCUUCAGAGGUUGCUGUUGUUGGAUCUUGGGCACGCCGGGUCGAAUCUCCCACUUGAAUGGGACGGCACCGGGUUUUCUACAAGAGUCAUCGAUAGUCAUGUUUGUUUAUAACUGAAAAUAACUAAUAAAAGCAGACCCCAAGUGAUAGGGGUAAAUGUAAAACCAAAACGGGGUUCACUUGUGUUGCGUUGCUUUGCUCUUAUAUAGUAAGAAAUGGGGCGUUCCUGGCGAGAUUAAAGGCAUGAAGUGGGGCCAAUAUGGAAAAUGAGAUAAUCUGCAUGUUCCUUCUUUGACUUUUGUACUGAGAAAGAAAGAACUUUUUUUCAAUCAUGCUUUAUGCAGUAUCAAGAAAGUGGAAAGCAAAACGUUCUUGUGAAAAAUCCAAACGUUAAUUAGGGAAAUAAGGGACUUUGUAUUUCGAAUUUUAAAUUGUUUGUAUCAGAAAAUCUAGAUGCAGACAGAAUUGAACUAACUAUCUACGAGCGGAUAAUGCCACUGACUCAGCUUUUUUUUCUAAUUAAGCUCAUUUUCCGCCAGGCCUUUGGGUCACAUUCCUAAUUUCUUCUCAAAUAAAACUUCGGCAAAGUAAAUGAUAAUCGGGAAACUUCAUUUCAAGUUUGUUUCCGAGGAGAAGUUAAAAGUGAUUACUAAAUUUAACUACUUUGUUU